RNAcentral lists this ribosomal RNA (257 nucleotides) under uncultured archaeon. RNAcentral describes it as "partial 16S ribosomal RNA". It matches the Rfam family "Archaeal small subunit ribosomal RNA", at positions 725 to 982 of the family's 1478-position model. The record is from RNAcentral.
UACAUUAGAUACCCGCGUAGUCCCAGCCGUAAACUAUGCGCGUUAGGUGUAUCGGUGACCACGAGUCACCGAGGUGCCGAAGGGAAACCGUGAAACGUGCCGCCUGGGAAGUACGGUCGCAAGGCUGAAACUUAAAGGAAUUGGCGGGGAGCACCACAACGGGUGGAGCCUGCGGUUUAAUUGGACUCAACGCCGGGAAGCUCACCGGAUAAGACAGCGGAAUGAUUGCCGGGCUGAAGACUCUGCAUGACUAGCUG